RNAcentral lists this ribosomal RNA (700 nucleotides) under uncultured bacterium. RNAcentral's name for it is "bacterial SSU rRNA". It matches the Rfam family "Bacterial small subunit ribosomal RNA", at positions 56 to 768 of the family's 1533-position model. The record is from RNAcentral.
UGCAGUCGACGGGAUCCAUGUUGUAGCAAUACUUCGGAAGAUCUAGUGGCGAACGGGUGAGGAACACGUGAGAAACCUGCCCCGAACUUCGGGAUAACAGUUGGAAACGAUUGCUAAUACCGAAUACCUCUGCGAAGUGGCAUCACUUUGCAAAGAAAGAAUUUCGGUUCGGGAGGGUCUCGCGGCCUAUCAGCUAGUUGGUGGGGUAACGGCCUACCAAGGCAUCGACGGGUAGCUGGUCUGAGAGGAUGAUCAGCCACACUGGGACUGAGACACGGCCCAGACUCCUACGGGAGGCAGCAGUGGGGAAUCUUGUGCAAUGGGCGAAAGCCUGACACAGCAACGCCGCGUGCGGGAAGAAGGCCUUCGGGUCGUAAACCGCUUUCAGCAGGAACGAAAAUGACGGUACCUGCAGAAGAAGGUGCGGCCAACUACGUGCCAGCAGCCGCGGUGACACGUAGGCACCAAGCGUUGUCCGGAUUUAUUGGGCGUAAAGAGCUCGUAGGCGGUUCAGCAAGUCGGGUGUGAAAACUCUGGGCUUAACCCAGAGCCUGCACCCGAAACUGCUGUGACUAGAGUUCGGUAGGGGAGCGGGGAAUUCCUGGUGUAGCGGUGAAAUGCGCAGAUAUCAGGAGGAACACCGGUGGCGAAGGCGCCGCUCUGGGCCGAAACUGACGCUGAGGAGCGAAAGCGUGGGUAG